ACAGAAUCUUCAAAAAGUGAUCUCACAUCUUUGGUCAUAGACCUUAACAGAACUUAGAACUGUAAUAACCAAGUGCCCACAUUCUAGACACAGCCCCCUAUUCAGCUCACUUGGGUGGAGACACUGAAGAUAGUAAGAUGUUCCAAUGUUGUCUCCCUGGUUUCAGAAGAUCUGGGCUCAGGAAAGCUCAGUGAGAAUUUUCUUUGUCGCUGUAGACAUUGGCUCAGACAUCAGCCCCAUGCAUCUGGUCAUUUUGGAGAAGGCACCAAAAGAUUCCGGACCUCUGUGGGUUUCCUCAGUUGGCAAACACCAUGGCAUCAUGGAGACCCCCAGGAUAUCUUCCAAUGAACCAAGACUUCCAGAGAAUGACUCUGAGUAAGCGGCCACUCUCCCCCUUUUUCAAGAUGAAAGAAGCCUCUUCAUGGACUCCUCAUCCUGAAGCCACUCCACAAAUGCAAGUCCUUGCCCCUGAUAUCACGUGGGGAAGCCUGAAAUCCCUGUCUAACCAGGCCGACAUCCUGGUUAGAUGAUAUUGCAUAUACCCCCUCAUUCACAUCUGAUGGCCAUAUUUUCUGUCAUGAACAAAAAUGUGAUAUGUGUAACCUUGA
Molecule: long non-coding RNA, 608 nt
Organism: Leopardus geoffroyi (Geoffroy's cat)
Lineage: Eukaryota; Metazoa; Chordata; Mammalia; Carnivora; Felidae
Exons: 2
Source: RefSeq, a predicted model, not a curated record